RNAcentral lists this ribosomal RNA (145 nucleotides) under Leptocylindrus danicus. Its description in RNAcentral is "partial Archaeal large subunit ribosomal RNA". The record is from RNAcentral. Lineage: Eukaryota; Bacillariophyta; Leptocylindrophyceae; Leptocylindrales; Leptocylindraceae.
ACGCCUUCAUGCAAUUUCGGUCGUCGGCCGGUGAAUAAUUGGAACCGUUUUUUUGUGUUUUUCUUGCUGCAGUAGUAAGUGUUGAGGAUGUAACUCACUUCAUCCCAGCUCUCGCGUUGAAUGUAUUCGACGAGGGCGGCGUUCA